AUAAAUACCAAUCAAAUUGGAAAACCUUAAUAUUUCAGAAGGUUGCCUAGAUUUGUGACCGAGCUCUGACUUUAUAAUUAUAAAGGCAGAAAAGCUACGACGCGCGACUACGAGUAUUCUCCAAUAAAUGUCUAUAUGUAUAUCUACUGCGAGUAUAUUUUGAUACCAUAAUGGAAAGAAAGAGGAAGCGGGAAGGCGAAGCGGACGAAGAUAAUAAGGCUCCCAAGAAAGAAGAACGGGAGAGCCUCCCGACUGCUGAGGAAACAAAAAUCAUCAUAAUUUUAGCGCUUAAAUGG
Drosophila persimilis is the source of this 296-nucleotide long non-coding RNA. RefSeq lists it as uncharacterized. Lineage: Eukaryota; Metazoa; Arthropoda; Insecta; Diptera; Drosophilidae. The record is from RefSeq and is a predicted model, not a curated record. The transcript has 3 exons.